This 345-nucleotide RNase P RNA is filed under the name marine eukaryotic metagenome. RNAcentral's name for it is "Bacterial RNase P class A". It matches the Rfam family "Bacterial RNase P class A", at positions 28 to 353 of the family's 367-position model. From Rfam's summary of the family: Ribonuclease P (RNase P) is a ubiquitous endoribonuclease, found in archaea, bacteria and eukarya as well as chloroplasts and mitochondria. Its best characterised activity is the generation of mature 5'-ends of tRNAs by cleaving the 5'-leader elements of precursor-tRNAs. The record is from RNAcentral.
CGGGAUAGUCUGCGGGAGGAAAGUCCGGGCAUCACAGGGCCGGAUGGUCGGUAACGCCGACCGAGGGAAACCUCCGGGACAGUGCCACAGAAAACAGACCGCCGGGCACGCGCGCCCCUUCGGGGGCCGCUCGGUAAGGGUGAAACGGCGAGGUAAGAGCUCACCGGGGCGGCGGCGACGUCGUCCGCAGAGGCAAACCCCAUCUCGAUGCAAGAUGAACCGGAGUCGGGCACACGCCCGGAAGCGGCCCGCUUCCAUACUCCAGGUAGUCGCUCGAGCCGCAUGGCAACGUGCGGCCUAGAUGAAUGACGGUCCCGCGCGAGCGGACCGAACCCGGCUUACUCG